RNAcentral lists this ribosomal RNA (216 nucleotides) under Glomeromycotina sp. RNAcentral describes it as "partial small subunit ribosomal RNA". The stretch from base 75 to 216 matches the Rfam family "Eukaryotic small subunit ribosomal RNA", at positions 721 to 864 of the family's 1831-position model. The record is from RNAcentral. Lineage: Eukaryota; Fungi; Glomeromycota.
GGGUCAGUAGGUUGGUCGUGCCACCGGUACGUACUGGUCUCACUGAUCCCUCCUUCCUGAAGAACCGUAAUGCCAUUAAUUUGGUGUUGCGGGGAAACAGGACUGUUACUUUGAAAAAAUUAGAGUGUUUAAAGCAAGCUAACGCUUGAAUACAUUAGCAUGGAAUAAUGAAAUAGGACGAUCGAUCCUAUUUUGUUGGUUUCCAGGAUUGACGUA